GAUGAACGCUGGCGGCGUGCUUAACACAUGCAAGUCGAACGAAGCACUUUGAUCGAUUUCUUCGGAAUGAAGUUUUAGUGACUGAGUGGCGGACGGGUGAGUAACGCGUGGGUAACCUGCCUCACACAGGGGGAUAACAGUUGGAAACGGCUGCUAAUACCGCAUAAGCGCACAGUACCGCAUGGUACGGUGUGAAAAACUCCGGUGGUGUGAGAUGGACCCGCGUCUGAUUAGCUAGUUGGCAGGGCAGCGGCCUACCAAGGCGACGAUCAAUAGCCGACCUGAGAGGGUGACCGGUCACAUUGGGACUGAGACACGGCCCAAACUCCUACGGGAGGCAGCAGUGGGGAAUAUUGCACAAUGGGGGAAACCCUGAUGCAGCGACGCCGCGUGAGCGAAGAAGUAUUUCGGUAUGUAAAGCUCUAUCAGCAGGGAAGAAAAAAUGACGGUACCUGACUAAGAAGCACCGGCUAAAUACGUGCCAGCCGCCGCAGUAA
This 497-nucleotide ribosomal RNA is filed under the name uncultured bacterium. RNAcentral's name for it is "partial 16S ribosomal RNA". It matches the Rfam family "Bacterial small subunit ribosomal RNA", at positions 28 to 523 of the family's 1533-position model. The record is from RNAcentral.